GAGUUUUGAUGUGAGUCUCCUAAUUAAUCAAGGAGAUUUAUUUCCUUGAUUAAUUAAGGGAUUUACUUUCCUAUUCUAUAUAGUUGACAAAUCCAAAUCAUUGUAUAAUUAGGAGAUAUUAUCCUAAUUGAUUACUGUAUAUAUUUCCUUGUAAAACACUCAUGUAAACUCCUAUAUAUACCUCCUUAUGGAGAAGAAUAAAACUUAACCUAAAGUAUUCAAACCA
This 226-nucleotide long non-coding RNA is filed under the name Prunus dulcis (almond). Its description in RNAcentral is "sRNA ncRNA". The record is from RNAcentral. Lineage: Eukaryota; Viridiplantae; Streptophyta; Magnoliopsida; Rosales; Rosaceae.